Molecule: long non-coding RNA, 483 nt
Organism: Erinaceus europaeus (western European hedgehog)
Lineage: Eukaryota; Metazoa; Chordata; Mammalia; Eulipotyphla; Erinaceidae
Exons: 3
Source: RefSeq, a predicted model, not a curated record
GAGUGUGACUGUCACCCAGGGGUGAAGUCAAUAUGCUCACAACUUCAGCCAAUGAUACCAUUUUUUGAAGAAAAGCAUGGAGGUUAUGAGCCCUGAUCUGGUGAACAUGCCCAUGACCUUCCUCAAUCCCAGGUGAGAAGGGGAUGAUGCAGUGAGACACCAGCAGGAGGGAAAGAGGCCUCCCCACAGCUGUGAAGUCACUGACAUCCUGGUCCCAUUGAGCACAAACAAAAGCCAGCAUGGGAGGAAAUUGGACAAUUCCAACAGGAAGCAUAUGGAAACUGGAGCCCAGGAAGUGGAAACUUGGUUGGACUUGAAGAAAAAAACACAUGGCAACUGCUGUCCAGGAAGUUAAGCCUUGGCUGGAGAUGGAGAAAAACUUAAGUGCUCUCAAGUUGGAUCUAGGAUAGCACAUGUUCCAGAAGGAUGAUCUGCAUAGGCCUCUCUCCAUCAUAGGUGAGAGAAGUAAUAAAUGUUUGAAGA